GGAGAGAUGCCUGAGCGGUUGAAAGGGCCGGUCUCGAAAACCGGUAGCGGGCUUGUCCUGCUCGUGGGUUCGAAUCCCACUCUCUCCG
Molecule: transfer RNA, 88 nt
Filed under: Phycisphaerae bacterium
Lineage: Bacteria; Pseudomonadati; Planctomycetota; Phycisphaerae
Description: tRNA-Ser
Rfam family: tRNA
About the family: Transfer RNA (tRNA) molecules are approximately 80 nucleotides in length. Their secondary structure includes four short double-helical elements and three loops (D, anti-codon, and T loops).
Source: RNAcentral